CCAAAGAGACUGGGAUAACACCUGGAAACAGAAUGCUAAUACCGGAUAACAACACUAGACGCAUGUCUAGAGUUUGAAAGAUGGUUCUGCUAUCACUCUUGGAUGGACCUGCGGUGCAUUAGCUAGUUGGUAAGGUAACGGCUUACCAAGGCAAUGAUGCAUAGCCGAGUUGAGAGACUGAUCGGCCACAUUGGGACUGAGACACGGCCCAAACUCCUACGGGAGGCAGCAGUAGGGAAUCUUCCACAAUGGACGAAAGUCUGAUGGAGCAACGCCGCGUGAGUGAAGAAGGGUUUCGGCUCGUAAAGCUCUGUUGGUAGUGAAGAAAGAUAGAGGUAGUAACUGGCCUUUAUUUGACGGUAAUUACUUAGAAAGUCACGGCUAACUACGUGCCAGCAGCCGCGGUAAUACGUAGGUGGCAAGCGUUGUCCGGAUUUAUUGGGCGUAAAGCGAGUGCAGGCGGUUCAAUAAGUCUGAUGUGAAAGCCUUCGGCUCAACCGGAGAAUUGCAUCAGAAACUGUUGAACUUGAGUGCAGAAGAGGAGAGUGGAACUCCAUGUGUAGCGGUGGAAUGCGUAGAUAUAUGGAAGAACACCAGUGGCGAAGGCGGCUCUCUGGUCUGCAACUGACGCUGAGGCUCGAAAGCAUGGGUAGCGAACAGGAUUAGAUACCCUGGUAGUCCAUGCCGUAAACGAUGAGUGCUAAGUGUUGGGAGGUUUCCGCCUCUCAGUGCUGCAGCUAACGCAUUAAGCACUCCGCCUGGGGAGUACGACCGCAAGGUUGAAACUCAAAGGAAUUGACGGGGGCCCGCACAAGCGGUGGAGCAUGUGGUUUAAUUCGAAGCAACGCGAAGAACCUUACCAGGUCUUGACAUCCAGUGCAAACCUAAGAGAUUAGGUGUUCCCUUCGGGGACGCUGAGACAGGUGGUGCAUGGCUGUCGUCAGCUCGUGUCGUGAGAUGUUGGGUUAAGUCCCGCAACGAGCGCAACCCUUGUCAUUAGUUGCCAUCAUUAAGUUGGGCACUCUAAUGAGACUGCCGGUGACAAACCGGAGGAAGGUGGGGACGACGUCAGAUCAUCAUGCCCCUUAUGACCUGGGCUACACACGUGCUACAAUGGACGGUACAACGAGUCGCAAGCUCGCGAGAGUAAGCUAAUCUCUUAAAGCCGUUCUCAGUUCGGACUGUAGGCUGCAACUCGCCUACAUGAAGUCGGAAUCGCUAGUAAUCGCGGAUCAGCACGCCGCGGUGAAUACGUUCCCGGGCCUUGCACUCACCGCCCGUCA
Molecule: ribosomal RNA, 1283 nt
Filed under: uncultured bacterium
Lineage: Bacteria
Description: bacterial SSU rRNA
Rfam family: Bacterial small subunit ribosomal RNA
Source: RNAcentral